CCUACGGGUGGCAGCAGUGGGGAAUCUUUCGCAAUGGGCGCAAGCCUGACGGAGCAACGCCGCGUGAGUGAAGAAGGUCUUCGGAUCGUAAAGCUCUGUUGAUGGGGACGAAUGUGCGAAGGGUGAAUAAUCCUUUGCAAUGACGGUACCUAUCGAGGAAGCCACGGCUAACUACGUGCCAGCAGCCGCGGUAAUACGUAGGUGGCGAGCGUUGUCCGGAAUCAUGGGGCGUAAAGGGAGCGCAGGCGGGCAUGUAAGUCUUUCUUAAAAGUUCGGGGCUCAACCCCGUGAUGGGAAAGAAACUACAUGUCUUUAGUACAGGAGAGGAAAGCGGAAUUCCCAGUGUAGCGGUGCAAUGCGUAGAUAUUGGGAGGAACAUCAGUGGCGAAGGCGGCUUUCUGGACUGCAACUGACGCUGAGGCUCGAAAGCCAGGGGAGCGAACGGGAUGAGAUACCCUUGUAGUC
This 465-nucleotide ribosomal RNA is filed under the name uncultured Selenomonas sp. RNAcentral describes it as "bacterial SSU rRNA". It matches the Rfam family "Bacterial small subunit ribosomal RNA", at positions 338 to 795 of the family's 1533-position model. The record is from RNAcentral. Lineage: Bacteria; Bacillati; Bacillota; Negativicutes; Selenomonadales; Selenomonadaceae.